RNAcentral lists this ribosomal RNA (253 nucleotides) under uncultured bacterium. Its description in RNAcentral is "partial 16S ribosomal RNA". It matches the Rfam family "Bacterial small subunit ribosomal RNA", at positions 524 to 776 of the family's 1533-position model. The record is from RNAcentral.
UACGAAGGGGGCUAGCGUUGUUCGGAAUUACUGGGCGUAAAGCGUGCGCAGGCGGUUUUGUAAGCCAGAUGUGAAAUCCCCGGGCUUAACCUGGGAAUGGCAUUUGGGACUGCAAGGCUGGAGUGUGGCAGAGGAGACUGGAAUUCCCGGUGUAGCAGUGAAAUGCGUAGAUAUCGGGAGGAAUACCGAUGGCGAAGGCAGGUCUCUGGGCUGACACUGACGCUCAUGCACGAAAGCGUGGGGAGCAAACAGG